UUUUGUGUGGCUGCAGGGAGAGUAACCAACUCCCCUUGCCUGGAUCACUCAAUCCUGGCCUCAAAGUUGGACUCAGGGACAAAAAGGAAACUAUUUCAGUUGGUUUUAUCUAAAUCCCUCGAGUUAGCUGGCUUGUUUCCCAGAAUCUCAUCAACAUGGAGUACGAAGCAACUGGGUUGGCCAGCUCAGAAUGGGAACUAAAUGCCAUUAAGACCUCACCCCCACUGGCUGCUUUAUUUACCUGCCCUUAUUACCAGCCUUGGGCCUUAUCACGGGGUACGGCCUUGAACGAGUCAUUUCCUUCCCUGAGUCUGGGUUUCCUGCUCUUUCAAAUUUUAGAGGGUUUGACAGGGAGAUUUCUGGACUCUGCCCAAACUCUGGAUUUAACCAGGUGUUUGAAUGAAGAAUUUGUUCACAUAUAAAACAGCAUCAGGGACCCUCUAGUGUAAGUGUGCUUCCAGCUAACAAGUGGCUGUGCUGGCAGGGCGGUCGGGGGUGCACCAGACAGCCUCAUACUGACUUUUCCCUUUUUCUGUUUUGUCCCCUAGCUGAAUCCAGUGGGUUUGAUGGGAAUACGGACCUGUUGCUGGAGCCACCUCAUGGAAGAGGCACGAUGCAGGUGGUAUCGCUACGGAUGAUGAAGCCAUUGGCUGAAUGACGCUCCUUCAUCCCAGACAUCCCCACAACUGGAUCUGUUUGGACAUAGAUGCCUGAUUUCCAAUUGGAGAAAGUUCUACAUAAAUAUGAAGGAAGAUCUGGAGCAAUGUGGGUGAAAGAAGGAUGCUGAUCUUAUAGUCCUUUGUUGGAGGGGACUACAGGGGAAGUGGAAUUCUUGGGGCUAGCCAGACUGUGGUUAGAUCAGAGGAGAUGCAUAGCAAAGUAAUUACAUAUGUAGGUAAGUUUCACUAUAAAAAUGCAGAUUCAAGUGAAACAGCAGAAAGAACCCAAGAAGGAGGUUUAGGGAAGUACAGAACAAUGUGAAGAAAGCGUAUUGGACUUUAAGCAGCAAGGAUAUGUGGAGUGGACUAGGAUGAUGUCAUAGGGGAGAGCAAUCCCAAGGUUUGGAACAGUAUUCUGGUAUAAAGUUACUUUGAUAUAAUGUUAAUUCAGUGUGAGGUGGGGGAAUUUUAUCUGUGCAGUGGGUCUGGUUGGCUAGGGGCAAAGUGGGUAGGGAAUCAGACGCUGAGUAAAUUGGGUUCUGUUGAUCCUGAGGUCACCUGAGGACAGAUCUCAAGUCUUCAGAAGCCUGGAACAUAGCUAUUGAGCCAAAAAUGGAUGUUGGUUAAAUGCUACUGAUUAUUUAGUAUUUCAAAAAUAGUAGAUUGAAUAUAUGAGUGAAUAAUGAAUGAUCAAUUCUAUUUUUAACAACUAUAAAGGAACUCAGGAAAAGUCUAACCAGAGAAGGGAUGUGGGCUGGAGUACAGUAGGGAGAGCCAUCAGGGAGUACACUCAAGUGUGACAUUCUCCAGGAUUGGUGUAGGAGAGAGACUUGGAGAAAUACCACGGCUUGGAUGUGUAGAGCGAAUCCUUGAUAUGCAGUGAACAGUAGGUAGCACUCAGACCUGGCCCUGGGGCCAGAGAAAGGAUUCUGGUCCUGGUUUUGCUCCUACUUUCCUAUGUGAUUUUAGGAUAAUCUCAGAAUUUAAGCAGCAAAGGACCUUUGAGUCCUUAGACAUUGAUAAAUCAUUUAACCCCACCCCAACAACCCUUGAUUUAUGUUUAAGCAAAUUGAGGCCCAACGAAGUAAAGUGCUUAGCUCAAGUUCACACAGAUACAGAGUUUGUUCUGGGACACUUGUCUUUAUGCUGGCUCACCCAUGAAUGGGCAAAGACCCCAGAAAAGCCGUGAGUCUGUGGCAGUCUCAAAAAUUUCCAUGGUGCUCAGCUAGACUGCCUUCUCCUGAAAUACUCUCCAAAUUGUACCAUCAAAUGAUGUUCUUUUCCCUCUUGACAUUGUUAGGAAUCUUCUGGUCACAUUUGACAAGUGGAGCAGAACUCAUAGGCUUUGCAAAGACCUUUCAUUAGCCAGAUACAGGAAGGCCUCAUUAAUUUGAGUGAAUCAGUGAAGGCCUAUCAAAAUAAGAUAUUUCAGCCAAACUAAACACUGACCCAAAAACCAGGAUGGGCUUUGUUAGUGUGAAGAGGCAUGCAUAGCAAUCUAUUGAACUAUCACACCAAUGUUCUCUCAAGUAUUAUUUUGUUAGGCUCAAAUCCCUUGCUGAGUGAUAAAUUAGUCUGAAUGAUGCACUCUUUAAAUUUAAAUAACAUUCUGGAUUUUUUCAAAUGUAUACAAUCACUAGCUUUCAGCAUUUUUACAGUGUUACCUAAUGAAGAAGCUUCUCGUAGGUCUAUACCAAAGAUUCAAUUUGGUUGUACAUUAGAAACACUCGUAUUUGUGUAAAGAAUUAAUACUCGUUAUUAUCUCCCUUCUGUUUCUCCAUCUAAGGUUCAGUGGACUUUAUGUUGGAAAAAUUAAAUUUCAGACAGUUUAGCAACCUUUAAUGUCAUUCCUGAAGUUCUGUUUACAAAUCCCCCAAUUAACAAGUUCAAACCAUUUUGGGAAAAUUAUUAAAUUUCAGUUUGCGUGCAAAAGAAAAGGGCAGACAUGAGGUUUGUCUGUUGAAAUCCUGCUGCAUCUUGGCAUUGUUCUAAUAGCAGAGGUUGACAAACUUUUCUGCAAAUGGUCAAAAUAAAUAUUUAGGUAUUGCAUGUCACGUAUGGUCUCUGUCUCAUCACUUUUUCUUCCUUAUCCUACCUGCAUAACGCUUUAAAAAUGAAAAGCCAUUCAUUCUUAGCUUAUAGGCCAGACAAAAACAGUCAUGGGCCAGGUCUGGUUGAUGGGCCAUAGUUUGCCUAACCCUGUACGAGUCUUUGAGUGGCAUGCCUGCAGGUUUGGCAUCCGAUAUAUUUUGUCUUAAUACAUAGGUUUAUAACUGAUGUCCUGGUGGUACAUCAACCUGGACUUAGAGGAGCUCCCAGGCAUUAGUGCUUACAUGAUUGAGAAGUCAUAGAUGUAGACAUAGUAUUUACUAUAAAUCUGGACUCUAGCCAUUUAAACAGAAUUUUACAAAAAAAAUUCAGACUAUUUAAAGAACUUUUAGACCUUAUCAUAAAUCUUAGGUUAAAUAAAACAUGUUCUAGAUAUGUGAGUUUUUUUUCUUUCCCCAGAAAUGUGGCAAUCAUUUCUACAUGCUGAUACAAAUAUCUUCUAAGAGAGCUUUAUAUAAUAUGACCAACAUUCUUAGCAUGUCACAUUUAAAAAGUCUGGCUAAUACUCA
Long non-coding RNA from Canis lupus familiaris (dog), 3277 nucleotides. RefSeq lists it as uncharacterized. Lineage: Eukaryota; Metazoa; Chordata; Mammalia; Carnivora; Canidae. The transcript is spliced from 3 exons. The record is from RefSeq and is a predicted model, not a curated record.